GAAUUUUGAGUGUAGUUUUACUGAACUUCUUGCGUCUACCUUCAAGAAAACCAUCAAGAGAGCCUACUCCAUUUACGUUCUUUCAAGGUUGUCUUUUGUAAAACCAUACAACUAGAAUGUCUUCAUAGGUACUGGAAGUUUUAACUUACAUUGACCCAGAUGUUCAUGUAAAGGCACCGUAAAUGUGACAUGAGCAAUCAUAUAUUUCCAUUUUGGGAGGAGAUUGUGAGAUCCAUGAAGUUAUGGCAAAAGCAUCCUUAACAAUGUGGAGGUGCAAACGCCUGGGGAGCAAUGUUUCUUGUCACGUUUCGGCUGUUAAGGGACUAUGUAGUAACUACUUUUUAGACUGAGUUUGGACGCCAUUUAUACACUCUAAAUGAGAUUUUGAGAUGCUAUAUGAAUUUCAAUUCAAUUUGAAAAUUGUAGUAGCAGCAACGUGAGUUGGUUUUUCAUGGAAGACGAUUGUAAUCUUUCUCAAAGAUAAUAUACGAAUUUUGCUUUCUACUUCGAUCCGCCAUUACGUAUUUUUGCAAAAGACGUGUAUCAGAAGGAUUGUCAAGAGAAUCAUCUCAGGUAUGUUAACGCUAAACUUUUUGCUUUAUUUUGGCAUGAUGUCGUCAUUACACAAGUUUAAUAACGAGGUAUAAAGAAAAAUUCAUAUCCCGCAAUUUACGUAUAUUUUGCUAGUCUCGCAAAUUGCGCAUAUUUUUCUAGUUUUGUAAGUUACAAUAUUCUUCUUACCAGAACUUCAUAUUCAAUUAAAUAUUUUCUUAUUCCAGUCAAGAGAGCAGAAAGUUUAUAUAUAUACAGUAUUAAAUUAUUUUCAUUACCAUAGAGCUAUAAUCGAUGGGCAGGCCCCUAUUAGGCAACCUCUGAUCAGAUGGUAAGUUAUACACCGAUCCUACUGUGGUCGAGUGCCUAUGAGCGAGCCCAGUUGGUCGAGAUACAGAACCUAGUAUGGCCGAGCGCUCAUGAGCGAGCCUACUACGGCAGAGCAGUUAUAUAUAUAUAUAUAUAUAUAUAUAUAUAUACCGAGCCUUAUAGGGCCGGACAGCUAUUUUACUUAAUAUAUUGAGAGAGUUGAGUCAGUAUCAGUUGGUAAGCAUAUCUUCAGAUUAUCUUACUAUCAGUUCAGUUUCAGCUUUCAGUAUAUUGCCUUACAUACUCGGUACAUUAUUUCGUACUGACAUCCUUUUGUUGGGGACGCUGUGUUUCAUGCUCGCAGGUAUAGACAAUCAGUUUGACGAUCCCUCAUAGUAGACGAGAUUGGCAUUCAACAAAGGAUCGGUAAGACUCCACUUCUUUCGGAGUGCAGCUGGGUCUAUGAGUCAUCAUGUCAGAGUUUUACUACAUACUUUUGGGUCAGUCGAUACCCUAUUCCAUUUGAUGUCAAAUACUUUUAGAGGCUUUGUAGACACGCAGAGGUUCAUUUUGUACAAUAUGUCAGAGGCCUUGACGGCUUAUAUGUAUUAAUGUUUUAUGAACGAUGGUUCAUUAAUAUAACAUUUUCC
This 1511-nucleotide long non-coding RNA is filed under the name Nicotiana tabacum (common tobacco). Its description in RNAcentral is "long non-coding RNA (NTAB_LNC012165)". The record is from RNAcentral. Lineage: Eukaryota; Viridiplantae; Streptophyta; Magnoliopsida; Solanales; Solanaceae.